CCCUGCCAUUUGUACACACCGCCCGUCGCUACUACCGAUUGAACGGCUCAGUGAGGCCUCCGGACUGGCCAGGGGAGGUUGGCAACGACCGCCCCAGGCCGGAAAGCUGGUCAAACUCGGUCGUUUAG
This 128-nucleotide ribosomal RNA is filed under the name uncultured eukaryote. RNAcentral describes it as "partial small subunit ribosomal RNA". It matches the Rfam family "Eukaryotic small subunit ribosomal RNA", at positions 1651 to 1776 of the family's 1831-position model. The record is from RNAcentral.